This 74-nucleotide transfer RNA is filed under the name Methylibium petroleiphilum PM1. RNAcentral's name for it is "tRNA-Cys". The record is from RNAcentral. Lineage: Bacteria; Pseudomonadati; Pseudomonadota; Betaproteobacteria; Burkholderiales; Sphaerotilaceae.
CUCGCGAAAGCCGUUGAUGACCUUGCCGACGAUGUAGGCGCCCUUGUUGCGGAAGAACAGCGAGGCCAGCACCU